CAGCAGCCGCGGGAAUACAGAGGGUGCAAGCGUUAAUCGGAAUUACUGGGCGUAAAGCGCGCGUAGGUGGUUUGUUAAGUUGGAUGUGAAAUCCCCGGGCUCAACCUGGGAACUGCAUCCAAAACUGGCAAGCUAGAGUAUGGUAGAGGGUGGUGGAAUUUCCUGUGUAGCGGUGAAAUGCGUAGAUAUAGGAAGGAACACCAGUGGCGAAGGCGACCACCUGGACUAAUACUGACACUGAGGUGCGAAAGCGUGGGGAGCAAACAGGAUUAGAUACCCCCGUAGUCCCUGUCUCUUAUAC
This 301-nucleotide ribosomal RNA is filed under the name uncultured bacterium. Its description in RNAcentral is "partial 16S ribosomal RNA". It matches the Rfam family "Bacterial small subunit ribosomal RNA", at positions 509 to 807 of the family's 1533-position model. The record is from RNAcentral.